UCCCUGGCAGCUCAGUCGGUAAAGAGUCUGCCUUUAAUGCAGGAGACCUGGGUUCAAACCCUGGGCUGGGAA
This 72-nucleotide transfer RNA is filed under the name Bos taurus (domestic cattle). It matches the Rfam family "tRNA". From Rfam's summary of the family: Transfer RNA (tRNA) molecules are approximately 80 nucleotides in length. The record is from Rfam by way of RNAcentral. RNAcentral also lists the same sequence under 5 other names. Lineage: Eukaryota; Metazoa; Chordata; Mammalia; Artiodactyla; Bovidae.